Molecule: ribosomal RNA, 253 nt
Filed under: uncultured bacterium
Lineage: Bacteria
Description: partial 16S ribosomal RNA
Rfam family: Bacterial small subunit ribosomal RNA
Source: RNAcentral
UACGGAGGGUGCAAGCGUUGUCCGGAUUUAUUGGGUUUAAAGGGUGCGUAGGCGGCUUACUAAGUCCGGGGUGAAAGACGGUCGCUUAACGAUCGCAGUGCCCUGGAUACUGAUAAGCUAGAGUACAGGCGAGGCUGGUGGAACGGGUGGUGUAGCGGUGAAAUGCAUAGAUACCAUCCAGAACACCGAUUGCGAAGGCAGCCAGCUAGACUGUUACUGACGCUGAGGCACGAAAGCGCGGGGAGCAAACAGG